UUUCCGUAGGUGAACCUGCGGAAGGAUCAUUAUUGUAUAACCGAGAUGCGAGGGCUGUCGCUGACCCGAGAGGUCGUGGACGCCCGAGUGCCCUCACACACAUCCAUCUCACCCCUAUGUGCACCACCGCGUGGGUACCCCUUUGGCUUGUUCGGAGGGGGGCUUACGUUUUCACACAAACUUUGUAUGCAGUGUAGAAUGUAUUUUUUGUUUUUGCGAUCACGCAAUCAAUACAACUUUCAACAACGGAUCUCUUGGCUCUC
Molecule: unclassified non-coding RNA, 263 nt
Filed under: plant metagenome
Description: partial contains small subunit ribosomal RNA, internal transcribed spacer 1, and 5.8S ribosomal RNA
Source: RNAcentral